This 1255-nucleotide ribosomal RNA is filed under the name Candidatus Phytoplasma citri. Its description in RNAcentral is "bacterial SSU rRNA". It matches the Rfam family "Bacterial small subunit ribosomal RNA", at positions 151 to 1405 of the family's 1533-position model. The record is from RNAcentral. Lineage: Bacteria; Bacillati; Mycoplasmatota; Mollicutes; Acholeplasmatales; Acholeplasmataceae.
UGAAAACGACUGCUAAGACUGGAUAGGAAGAAAUAAGGCAUCUUUUUUCUUUUAAAAGACCUAGUGAUAGGUAUACUUUAGGAGGGGCUUGCGCCAUAUUAGUUAGUUGGUAGGGUAAUGGCCUACCAAGACGAUGAUGUGUAGCUGGACUGAGAGGUUGAACAGCCACAUUGGGACUGAGACACGGCCCAAACUCCUACGGGAGGCAGCAGUAGGGAAUUUUCGGCAAUGGAGGAAACUCUGACCGAGCAACGCCGCGUGAACGACGAAGUACUUUGGUAUGUAAAGUUCUUUUAUCAAGGAAGAAAAGCAAGUGGUGAACCAUUUGUUUGCCGGUACUUGAUGAAUAAGCCCCGGCUAAUUAUGUGCCAGCAGCCGCGGUAAGACAUAAGGGGCAAGUGUUAUCCGGAAUUAUUGGGCGUAAAGGGUGCGUAGGCGGUCUAGUAAGUCAGUGGUGUAAUGGCAACGCUCAACGUUGUCCGGCUAUUGAAACUGCUAAACUUGAGUUAGAUAGAGGCGAGUGGAAUUCCAUGUGUAGCGGUAAAAUGCGUAAAUAUAUGGAGGAACACCAGAGGCGUAGGCGGCUCGCUGGGUCUUAACUGACGCUGAGGCACGAAAGCGUGGGGAGCAAACAGGAUUAGAUACCCUGGUAGUCCACGCCGUAAACGAUGAGUACUAAGUGUCGGGUUAAACCGGUACUGAAGUUAACACAUUAAGUACUCCGCCUGAGUAGUACGUACGCAAGUAUGAAACUUAAAGGAAUUGACGGGACUCCGCACAAGCGGUGGAUCAUGUUGUUUAAUUCGAAGAUACCCGAAAAACCUUACCAGGUCUUGACAUGUUUUUGCGAAACGGUAGUAAUAUCGUGGAGGUUAUCAGAAACACAGGUGGUGCAUGGUUGUCGUCAGCUCGUGUCGUGAGAUGUUAGGUUAAGUCCUAAAACGAGCGAAACCCUUAUCGUUAGUUGCCAGCACGUUAUGGUGGGGACUUUAACGAGACUGCCAGUGAUAAAUUGGAGGAAGGUGAGGAUCACGUCAAAUCAGCAUGCCCCUUAUGACCUGGGCUACAAACGUGAUACAAUGGCUGUUACAAAGGGUAGCUGAAACGCAAGUUCUUGGCCAAUCCCCAAAAACAGUCUCAGUCCGGAUUGAAGUCUGCAACUCGACUUCAUGAAGUUGGAAUCGCUAGUAAUCGCGAAUCAGCAUGUCGCGGUGAAUACGUUCUCGGGGUUUGUACACACCGCCCGUCAAAUCGA